UACGAAGGGGCUAGCGUUGCUCGGAAUUACUGGGCGUAAAGGGUGCGUAGGUGGUUUCUUAAGUCAGAGGUGAAAGGCUACGGCUCAACCGUAGUAAGCCUUUGAAACUGGGAAACUUGAGUGCAGGAGAGGAGAGUGGAAUUCCUAGUGUAGCGGUGAAAUGCGUAGAUAUUAGGAGGAACACCAGUUGCGAAGGCGGCUCUCUGGACUGUAACUGACACUGAGGCACGAAAGCGUGGGGAGCAAACAGGAUUAGAUACCCGGGUAGUCCCUGAGCGGG
RNAcentral lists this ribosomal RNA (280 nucleotides) under uncultured prokaryote. RNAcentral describes it as "partial 16S ribosomal RNA". It matches the Rfam family "Bacterial small subunit ribosomal RNA", at positions 524 to 803 of the family's 1533-position model. The record is from RNAcentral.